This 425-nucleotide ribosomal RNA is filed under the name uncultured bacterium. Its description in RNAcentral is "partial 16S ribosomal RNA". It matches the Rfam family "Bacterial small subunit ribosomal RNA", at positions 354 to 796 of the family's 1533-position model. The record is from RNAcentral.
GUGGGGAAUAUUGGACAAUGGGCGCAAGCCUGAUCCAGCCAUGCCGCGUGAGUGAUGAAGGCCUUAGGGUUGUAAAGCUCUUUCACCGAUGAAGAUAAUGACGGUAGUCGGAGAAGAAGCCCCGGCUAACUUCGUGCCAGCAGCCGCGGUAAUACGAAGGGGGCUAGCGUUGUUCGGAUUUACCGGGCGUAAAGCGCACGUAGGCGGUUUGUUAAGUCAGGGGUGAAAUCCCGGAGCUCAACUCCGGAACUGCCUUUGAUACUGGCAAGCUAGAGUCCGGAAGAGGUAAGUGGAACUCCUAGUGUAGAGGUGGAAUUCGUAGAUAUUAGGAAGAACACCAGUGGCGAAGGCGGCUUACUGGUCCGGAACUGACGCUGAGGUGCGAAAGCGUGGGGAGCAAACAGGAUUAGAAACCCGAGUAGUCC